GCCCGUGCACCUUGGCGAGAUGAGUUUCAAGCGAGCAGCGCUGUGUAAAUGCUUUCCAGCAAGCUCCGCAGCGGAAUGGGCGGAUCCCUGCACAGAUAGGCAGAGCGGGAGAGGACAGGACAAUGACCUCAGACCAAAGCCAACCCACCUUGCCCUCUGUGAGCAUUCCUCCAUUCCUGCUCCAGGUUCUGCUGACUUCACCUACAUCCCACUAUCUCCAACCUCAGUGUAAACAUGGACCAGGCAUCUGCGUCUUCAUCCUCACCAGGCCUAGUGAGGGCCCCACCUGGGACAUAGGCGUCUCCCCGGAGCUGGUCGGGCAGGUGGCUCCAGUUGGGUGGUUGCAGGCGCCUACUCCUUACCAGGAAGGCACGAGGCAUCACCUCCAGAAAUGGAGCUGGGACAAGUCAUUUAUCAGUGAGCCUGUUUCUCCAUCUGGAAAAUGGAACUAACGAGUCUCCCUAUUUCCGGCUUGUGUUGAAGACCCAUGCAGAUCAUGUGGGGAGAAUGCUGAGCAUGGGAUCUGGCAUGUGGCAGACAUAUAAACAGAGGGGUUGUUAGGAAGUCUCAUGGGGUGAUGUGGCUAGCACAGGAGAGACGGCUGGUCCAAGCAAAUCAAAGCAAUCUCUAUUCUCAUUGCCCAUGACUGCUCUGAAGGGGAAGGCCUCCACGAAGAAAUCCGCAAUUUCUUCCCCACUACCCUGACGGCUGCCCUGCUCUGUGCCUCUCCUACUGGUUGGGUGGGGGUGUACUGCUGAGUGUGUGGCAGACAUGUUGCAAUUGUGAGGGCCUAAACUGGAGGGUGGAACUCGGGCUCAGGGGGUGACAGAGCAGAGGCAUAAUCAAGAGUAACAAAUGUCCCUACAGCAUGUGUUCCCAUAAGCCAGGCGUUGGCUACUUGGAAUUGAAGGCUUAACUAUAAUACAGGGUGGGAGAAGGGGUAAAUUUCACGAGGGAUAGAGCCUCAAGUUGGUCUCCUGGAUGUCCAGGGGCCUGGAUCCUAAACCUUGCCUCAAGGGUCUUAGGUGACAGUGACCAAGCUAGGCCAGGAGAGUGCAUCUCUGGUCUUUCAGGGGUGGCCUGUGGGCCACAGGCCUGGGCAAGGAAUCUCCCGGCAGCGGUGCAGCCCAACUACGAGCCCUGGACCACGUGGGCUCACUAAGGCAGAGAGAGGGAGCUUUGAAAAAUAAACAGAACGGGGCGUCUCCUCAAAACACCAAUAUUAGGGACUUUAUUUAGGGGCGGAAAUCGUGUCAUGAAUGUUUCUUGGAUUUGAAAGUCAUGAAGCAGCAAGGCCCUGCCUGGUGUGAUCUCAAUCUUUCUCCCACCGUCUCUCCCCUCUUCUAUUCCAGCUGUCCUGGCUUUGUUGCUGUUCCUUACAUAUACGUUUGGUCCCCUCAUGGGGCCUUUGCACUGGCUAUUCUGUCUGCCUGUAUACUUUUCUGAGAUGUACAUAUGGCCUGUGUCCUCUAUCAAGCCUCAGCUCAAAUGUCGCCUCAGGAAGGCCUUCCAUUACACUUCAACCAGCACAGUGAAUUCCGUUAGUUAUUGUUGUAAUUGCUGUGUGCUUUGCUCUCUAGAACGUGAACGCCAC
Molecule: long non-coding RNA, 1594 nt
Organism: Phyllostomus hastatus (greater spear-nosed bat)
Lineage: Eukaryota; Metazoa; Chordata; Mammalia; Chiroptera; Phyllostomidae
Exons: 4
Source: RefSeq, a predicted model, not a curated record